UAUAGGGAGAGAUGUCCAAAUGAUGCUUCAAGAUUUCCAGGACCAUAACCCUUGAUAUUUAAGCCUAAACUCUAGAGAUCUAGUUUUUCAAAAGGAUGUUAUAAUUAUGAUGCAAAUAGGAAGCCAUGUUUUUGUUAAGACUGAAAGCACUGUGUCUUCCUUGGGCAAUUCUAAAGUCACCUUUGGAGGUGGGACUAGGCUGGUCGUAAUUCCAAAACUGGAUGAUUCAGAACCUUCUGUCUACCAGCUGAAGUCCCAAAAUGAAGAAAGCAAUGUGGCCGCUUGCCUCAUUACUGAUUAUUCACCUAAUCCCAUCGAUGUGAAUUCAGAACCAGUCAGUGGCUCUACUGUGGUCGUAAAAGACGGCAACAAUAAAGAUUCAGCCAGCCUUGGGGUUGUCACAUGGGGCAAAAAUGAUGACCAGUUUCAUUGCUCUGCUACUUACAAAGGCACCCCCUAUGAAGCUGAAACACAAGGAGAUGAUACCUGUUCAAAAAAUACACCGUCCGGCACUCCAGCUUUUGAAACAGACGAAAGGUUGAAUCUUCUCUCUCUCACUGUAUUGGGACUGAGAAUAAUAUUUUUCAAGAGUGUUGCUCUCAACUUGAUACUCACCUAUUGGGCAUGGUCAAGAUGAGGAAUGAGAGCAAAAUGGGGAAACAUAACUGGGAUGUUGUGGAAGAAUCAUCUAAGGAUUUCAAGAUUUGACUGGACAGAAUCAUGCUACAAGCUUUCCUGGUUGCCUUCUCAACUUUUUAAAGAAAAUGGCUUCACUUUUCAAAUGUUUCAUGGUACAAUUUUUAAAAACAUCUAGGUAGCUUAUCAACCCAAAUUCUUGCAUUGUUCUAAAUGUAUUAUACCGUCUUCUGAAUAUUAUCUGUCAAAACAUUUAUAGUGUAAUAAAGAUGCAUAUUUGAA
This is a non-coding RNA of Crotalus tigris (Tiger rattlesnake), 918 nucleotides long. The record is from the annotation of a RefSeq genome assembly. NCBI's taxonomy places the organism in Eukaryota, Metazoa, Chordata, Lepidosauria, Squamata, Viperidae.